This 638-nucleotide ribosomal RNA is filed under the name uncultured bacterium. RNAcentral describes it as "bacterial SSU rRNA". The stretch from base 1 to 537 matches the Rfam family "Bacterial small subunit ribosomal RNA", at positions 338 to 873 of the family's 1533-position model. The record is from RNAcentral.
CCUAUGGGAGGCAGCAGUAAGGAAUAUUGGUCAAUGGGCGCAAGCCUGAACCAGCCAUGCCGCGUGCAGGAAGACGGCCCUAUGGGUUGUAAACUGCUUUUGAACAAGAGAAAACCUCGGUACGUGUACCGAGCUGAUAGUAUUGUUAGAAUAAGCAUCGGCUAACUUCGUGCCAGCAGCCGCGGUAAGACGAAGGAUGCAAGCGUUAUCCGGAUUCAUUGGGUUUAAAGGGUGCGUAGGCGGCCUGAUAAGUCAGUGGUGAAAUCUCUCAGCUUAACUGAGAAACUGCCAUUGAUACUGUCGGGCUUGAGUACAGAUGAUGUGGGCGGAAUAUGACAUGUAGUGGUGAAAUACUUAGAUAUGUCAUAGAACACCGAUUGCGAAGGCAGCUCACAAAACUGUAACUGACGCUGAGGCACGAAAGUGCGGGGAUCAAACAGGAUUAGAUACCCUGGUAGUCCGCACCGUAAACGAUGAUUACUCGUUGUUGGCAAUAUGACCGUCAGCGACCGACGACGAAGACGAGAAGUAAGUACCUACCGUACGGGAGGUACGGACCGGCCGACGGUACGGAACGUAAACGGUAAAGUAGUUACGGACGNGAGACGAGCGACGGACGACGACGAGGGAGGAGGAGG